This 486-nucleotide ribosomal RNA is filed under the name uncultured bacterium. RNAcentral's name for it is "bacterial SSU rRNA". It matches the Rfam family "Bacterial small subunit ribosomal RNA", at positions 28 to 517 of the family's 1533-position model. The record is from RNAcentral.
GACGAACGCUGGCGGCGUGCUUAACACAUGCAAGUCACGGGGGCCCAGGGGCAACUCUGGGCAACCGGCGAACGGGUGCGUAACACGUGAGCAACCUGCCUAUCUGCGGGGGAUAGCCGGCCCAACGGCCGGGUAAUACCGCAUACGUUCACGAGGGGACAUCCCCUUGUGAGGAAAACUCCGGUGCAGAUAGAGGGGCUCGCGGCCUAUCAGCUAGUUGGUGAGGUAACGGCUCACCAAGGCGACGACGGGUAGCUGGUCUGAGAGGAUGGCCAGCCACAUUGGGACUGCGACACGGCCCAGACUCCUACGGGAGGCAGCAGUGGGGAAUAUUGCGCAAUGGACGAAAGUCUGACGCAGCGACGCCGCGUGUGGGAUGAAGCUCUUCGGGGGUGUAAACCACUGUUGCCCGGGAAGAAUCUCCUGAUUUAUCAGGAUUGACGGUACCGGGUGAGGAAGCACCGGCUAACUCUGUGCCAGCCGCCG